CCAUUUUAAUCCCUUUAACCCUCUAAAACCCUAAAGGGAACAUCAUUUUUCCCCUAUGCCAAAAAACAGUCGGCCAUUCCCCUUUCCCUCUCACCGAUCUCUCAAUUCUCCCCCUUCCCUUUCUCUCUCCACCACGGUGAGCCAACCCUGGCGAGCCAACCUCUGACGCCCAGAGACAUCGAUAACCUCCACCACCUUCAUCAGUGAAUCCACCCAACCCGACACUCCUUCUAUCUCCUUUCCCCCUCUCUUUUUACCCCAAGCCGCGGCUGCUCCACUAUUUUUCGGUCGGCGAGCCAUCAAUCUUCUAUCGUUUCUACGAACUUUGGCCAACCAUGGCCGAUGAUAACCAACACCACCAGCCACUACUCCAGUCAGCCGCCACGUAACUUCUCCGACCACAUUCCAGCGAGAGAACCACUGAGCCACCACCAUCUUCCUUCCAUCUCUUUCCCCUCUCCAUGCUUUCUCCUUCCUUCUACCAAACAACUACUGACAACCACAACAGCCGCCCAUUUCUUCCUCUUCUCUGGAAAAGUUCAGAGCCGCCGCCACCGACUUUUACUAUUUCUCGCCCUCUCUCCUCCUCUCUUUGUUCAAAAUUUAAAAAUCCAAGAUUAGCUCUUCUACGACGAACUUUGGAGAAAUCCGACAAGAUGAGCAACACAAAUGGAUGUGCUAAUCAUUUCUCACGACUAAAUUUUGGGAUGAUCACAAUAGCUUUGGAUUCACUCAAUUUAUUUUUUGAUUUUCAUUGAAUCUUAAAGAAUUAUCCAUCUCGGGUAUGAUUUUCUCUAUGCUUGAUUACUAUCAUCUCCAAUUUCUUGCUUUGGGCAGAUUCUUGGUUGUUAGAUUUGUGCAUUUUGUUUAAGUUGUCGUGAUUCUUAUUUGUUUACCUCUUUCAACCAUAAUAUGUGAAAAUCCCAAAUUCUCAUGAAAGUAAUCUUAGCGAGAGUUUGUUUCCUGCUUAGAUUAACUUGAUUAUUACUUGUCCGAGGCCUUUGAUUAUUUGCUUUUUCCCAUAAAGUAUGCUUGUAACAACAUUGGUGGUUUUAUUUUGGUCAUUCAAAGCAAUAUAUGUUCAAUACGUGCGUUAUUCUAUCUUUAGUAAAUUUUGAUUGCUAUAAUAAUUUUGGUAAGCUUAGAUUGAUUUUGGGCUUGGUUGAUUCAUUCACUAUAAUUGAGGGUACUUCUUAUCAGCUCAGUGGUUUUGAUUAUUGACUUUCAUUUAACGAUGCGGACAACCUAGUAUGUGAUUGCUUGUGAUAAGUUCUCAGUGAUUUUCUUUCUUUUCCUUUAGCAAAUGUGACUACUUCGUAUGGUAACUUGAGAUUUUACUUACCUUUGAUUGAUACAAUUUGUUCUGUUUAAAGAAAUUAUAGUGCGACUGGUGAUUCUUUCCUAUUUGAUGCCUUAAUUGAUUAAUUCCUUUAGCUAUAUAAACAACACCUUUCUUCAUUAUUUUGGACAGAGUUUUGACCCUUACUAUUACUGACUUUUUACACUGAACAAUAUUUACUCUGCUCUAGACACAUAAAAUAUCUCUUUUGCUUUUGGUCUUGAGACUUCGACUACUACUAUUACGAUAGAUUUUUACUUUGAAAAGCACGGUUUUCUUAUUUAUGUUUUAUUACUUUCACUUCUAAUCGGUUAGUUUUUUCUAACGAUGCAUUAGUUUCUUUUUCUAUUAAUUCUAUGUGAUUAUGAUUUUGUUUUUGUUUGCGUAUUUUAAAUGCUUGAUGUCAUAAGCCUUCUACUCGUUUUUGUGCAUUUCCAAUAUCAAUUGGGUGUUUAUGCUAUUUUCUUUUGUCAACGUGACAUGUUUUGUACCUCUAUUUGCAAUUAAAUAUUUUUCCCACUGGAGUGUUUGUUGUAUGUAAAUUCAAAACGACCUUUCUGCAUCUCAUAACCUUUUUGGCGUGAUUCUUAGGAUCUCAACAGAGCCAAGGGUUGGUUGUGUGUUGUCAAAGAUAUGUUGUGGAUUCGGGAAGUAUUAUAGUGUCUUUGCUUCUGUUCGCAGGUUAAAAGGCAACCAUUCAGAGGAGAGUUCGUUUGGAAUUUUGUGAUUUUGGAGAUUUUCUAAUCUUUUCUUUAUUAUGCCUUGUUUAUAUUUUAUUUAUUUAUUUAUUAUAUUGGUCUGUAAUAUAUGUAUAAACACUGAUAUAUAUAAUGGAAAACGGGGAUUGCUCAUGGGGGGACGAGAUUAUAUGACCUGAAUAUUUGAUAACAAUUGCUUUAUCACUUAGGCAAUAAUUCUAGGAUCAUCAAUUAAAUUCUAUCUCCUAGAAGUCAUGUUUUAGGAUUUCUAAUUAACACACAACAUAUAAAAAUUAAUUUUAAGCAUGUCAAUUUAAUUUAUAGCAUGUUUAGUUAAUUUUCACAUAUUUUUAUCCAUUUUUGCAUAUUUAGUAAUUUUUUCUGCACAUUCAAAGUUUUUAUUCUGUCAUUAUUAAUUUUUUGCACUUUAAGAUAAACUACAUUUUAAACAUUUUUUGUGCAUUGUUUAAUUAAAUUUCUGAGCAGUUCAAUUAUU
RNAcentral lists this long non-coding RNA (2533 nucleotides) under Capsicum annuum. RNAcentral describes it as "long non-coding RNA (CANN_LNC013857)". Lineage: Eukaryota; Viridiplantae; Streptophyta; Magnoliopsida; Solanales; Solanaceae. The record is from RNAcentral.